AUACGGAGGGUGCGAGCGUUGUUCGGAAUUACUGGGCGUAAAGGGCGCGCAGGCGGCUUGAUAAGUGAGAUGUGAAAGCCCACGGCUCAACCGUGGAAGUGCAUCUGAAACUGUCUGGCUCGAGUACUGGAGAGGAAAGUGGAAUUCCUGGUGUAGAGGUGAAAUUCGUAGAUAUCAGGAGGAACACCGGUGGCGAAGGCGACUUUCUGGACAGAUACUGACGCUGAGGCGCGAAAGCGUGGGGAGCAAACAGGAUUAGAAACCCUAGUAGUCC
Molecule: ribosomal RNA, 274 nt
Filed under: uncultured bacterium
Lineage: Bacteria
Description: partial 16S ribosomal RNA
Rfam family: Bacterial small subunit ribosomal RNA
Source: RNAcentral